AAAGCGAUUCGGGUAGCAGCAGUGGGUCAGAAUCUGGCUCAGACUAUUAAGGACUUAAUGUAACGACUCGCGAUCCUGCCGCCGCAUCAGCUCAUGGUUAAGGAAUACUUUUGGGUCCGAAACCAGUUGGGCUAUCCCAAUAAAUACACGUGAGCAAACCGAUAUUAAAUAAAUAAUUAUAAAUUCGA
This is a long non-coding RNA of Trichoplusia ni (cabbage looper), 188 nucleotides long. RefSeq lists it as uncharacterized. The record is from RefSeq and is a predicted model, not a curated record. The transcript has 2 exons. NCBI's taxonomy places the organism in Eukaryota, Metazoa, Arthropoda, Insecta, Lepidoptera, Noctuidae.